RNAcentral lists this long non-coding RNA (616 nucleotides) under Rattus norvegicus (Norway rat). Its description in RNAcentral is "long non-coding RNA NONRATT029733". The record is from RNAcentral. Lineage: Eukaryota; Metazoa; Chordata; Mammalia; Rodentia; Muridae.
UCCACAUUUUCGAGAGCAGAAUGAGAUGGCGCAGCCUGGGAGCCAAGGGUAAGUACAAUUUGAAAAUGAAAAGAAUCUCAGCAGAUAUAAAUGACCUGGCCCGGUGUCCCACAGACUUAAAGGCAGGUUCAGCGCCAGAGAGAUAAGGGAACUAUGCUGUACGAAGAUCAGAGAAGCAGAGAAGCAGACGUCUAUGGAGGGGGCGGACCAGACCUGUGCUGACUUAGCAGGAGCUACAGUUUUCACAGAGGCAGAAACCCCGAGCCAACACAGCUGAGAGCAUCAACACCAGGCUCUUUACAACUGUGCACCUGCCUGCUUAGCCACAGGGUGAAAACCCCUCCUCUUCCUCAGUGCGGAGCGACAACAGAACCAACCAAACCAUCCAGCUGCCUGAGCAGGUCCACCUGCCUAGAGAGAGAAACGAACUAUGACCCACUCUUGGCUUUAGGAGUGUUCUGGAAUUCGGGGAAGAAUUUUCUGCAUGCCAAAAUGAGAAGCAUUUAACUGGUCAGGCCAGUUAUGGUAGACAGUCUGCACAAGAAAGAAUGUCCCUGUGUCACACAUGCUUUUCAAACACCUGCUGGCUGGACUGCAGGAGGAAACUUGUACAGAA